Molecule: ribosomal RNA, 478 nt
Filed under: uncultured bacterium
Lineage: Bacteria
Description: partial 16S ribosomal RNA
Rfam family: Bacterial small subunit ribosomal RNA
Source: RNAcentral
GAUGAACGCUGGCGGCGUGCUUAACACAUGCAAGUCGAACGGGAAUUAUUUUAUUGAAACUUCGGUCGAUUUAAUUUAAUUCUAGUGGCGGACGGGUGAGUAACGCGUGGGUAACCUGCCUUAUACAGGGGGAUAACAGUCAGAAAUGGCUGCUAAUACCGCAUAAGCGCACAGAGCUGCAUGGCUCAGUGUGAAAAACUCCGGUGGUAUAAGAUGGACCCGCGUUGGAUUAGCUGGUUGGUGGGGUAACGGCCCACCAAGGCGACGAUCCAUAGCCGGCCUGAGAGGGUGAACGGCCACAUUGGGACUGAGACACGGCCCAGACUCCUACGGGAGGCAGCAGUGGGGAAUAUUGCACAAUGGGGGAAACCCUGAUGCAGCGACGCCGCAUGAAGGAAGAAGUAUCUCGGUAUGUAAACUUCUAUCAGCAGGGAAGAUAGUGACGGUACCUGACUAAGAAGCCCCGGCUAACUACGUG